RNAcentral lists this ribosomal RNA (253 nucleotides) under uncultured prokaryote. Its description in RNAcentral is "partial 16S ribosomal RNA". It matches the Rfam family "Bacterial small subunit ribosomal RNA", at positions 524 to 776 of the family's 1533-position model. The record is from RNAcentral.
UACGUAGGAUGCAAGCGUUGUCCGGAAUUACUGGGCGUAAAGGGUGCGCAGGCGGCUUCUCAAGUCAGAUGUGAAAGUUUAGGGCUUAACCCUAAAGGGUCAUUUGAAACUGGGGAGCUUGAGUAUGUCAGAGGAAGAUGGAAUUCCCGGUGUAGUGGUGAAAUGCGUAGAUAUCGGGAGGAAUACCAGUGGCGAAGGCGGUCUUCUGGGGCAAAACUGACGCUGAGGCACGAAGGCUAGGGUAGCAAACAGG